UAACAGCGUAAUUUUUUUUAAGAGUUCUUAUCGAAAGAAAAGAUUGCGACCUCGAUGUUGGAUUAAAGUUUAAUUUUGGUGUAGGUGCUAAAAAUUUUAGGUCUGUUCGACCUUUAAAACUUUACAUGAUCUGAGUUUAAACCGGUGUGAGCCAGGUUGGUUUCUAUCUCUAAUAAAUUGAAAUAUUUUAGUACGAAAGGACCUAAUAUUUAAUUUAAAAUUUUUAUAUAGAUUAUUCUAAAUUA
This 245-nucleotide ribosomal RNA is filed under the name Brachycerus muricatus. RNAcentral's name for it is "partial large subunit ribosomal RNA". The stretch from base 1 to 168 matches the Rfam family "Bacterial large subunit ribosomal RNA", at positions 2475 to 2642 of the family's 2925-position model. Lineage: Eukaryota; Metazoa; Arthropoda; Insecta; Coleoptera; Brachyceridae. The record is from RNAcentral.